This 360-nucleotide ribosomal RNA is filed under the name Triticum aestivum (bread wheat). RNAcentral's name for it is "partial small subunit ribosomal RNA". The record is from RNAcentral. Lineage: Eukaryota; Viridiplantae; Streptophyta; Magnoliopsida; Poales; Poaceae.
AUGUGUAUGAAGCUGCAUUGUGAUUGUGAUUUGCUUUUGCCGUUUUGUUAUAGCAGAUGGGAUGGUACCGUGCUGCUGGCAAAAGGACCACAGGGAAAAUGUAACCACUUUGUGCUCGAGUCCAGACGGCUGCUGAGAGGAAUUAUUGGCGUCCAUGUCUCGGAGUCGGAGGUUUCCUUUAUAUCAGCUACGGCGCCGGUGUCAUAUCCACAGGUCGGCACCCCGCUAGACCAUACCACCAUGAUGGGUGCGUUUGAUUGCAAGGGCGGUCAUGAAUGGGUUGGGAUCGUUCAGAAAAUAGAUAUGUUUGGUUAUAAAGCACAUGAAUGGUUCGAGCCAAAAAAAGAGAAUAUGCCAUGA